This 1372-nucleotide ribosomal RNA is filed under the name uncultured bacterium. Its description in RNAcentral is "bacterial SSU rRNA". It matches the Rfam family "Bacterial small subunit ribosomal RNA", at positions 28 to 1381 of the family's 1533-position model. The record is from RNAcentral.
GAUGAACGCUGGCGGCGUGCCUAAUACAUGCAAGUCGAGCGAACGGACGAGAAGCUUGCUUCUCUGAUGUUAGCGGCGGACGGGUGAGUAACACGUGGAUAACCUACCUAUAAGACUGGGAUAACUUCGGGAAACCGGAGCUAAUACCGGAUAAUAUUUUGAACCGCAUGGUUCAAAAGUGAAAGACGGUCUUGCUGUCACUUAUAGAUGGAUCCGCGCUGCAUUAGCUAGUUGGUAAGGUAACGGCUUACCAAGGCAACGAUGCAUAGCCGACCUGAGAGGGUGAUCGGCCACACUGGAACUGAGACACGGUCCAGACUCCUACGGGAGGCAGCAGUAGGGAAUCUUCCGCAAUGGGCGAAAGCCUGACGGAGCAACGUCGCGUGAGUGAUGAAGGUCUUCGGAUCGUAAAACUCUGUUAUUAGGGAAGAACAUAUGUGUAAGUAACUGUGCACAUCUUGACGGUACCUAAUCAGAAAGCCACGGCUAACUACGUGCCAGCAGCCGCGGUAAUACGUAGGUGGCAAGCGUUAUCCGGAAUUAUUGGGCGUAAAGCGCGCGUAGGCGGUUUUUUAAGUCUGAUGUGAAAGCCCACGGCUCAACCGUGGAGGGUCAUUGGAAACUGGAAAACUUGAGUGCAGAAGAGGAAAGUGGAAUUCCAUGUGUAGCGGUGAAAUGCGCAGAGAUAUGGAGGAACACCAGUGGCGAAGGCGACUUUCUGGUCUGUAACUGACGCUGAUGUGCGAAAGCGUGGGGAUCAAACAGGAUUAGAUACCCUGGUAGUCCACGCCGUAAACGAUGAGUGCUAAGUGUUAGGGGGUUUCCGCCCCUUAGUGCUGCAGCUAACGCAUUAAGCACUCCGCCUGGGGAGUACGACCGCAAGGUUGAAACUCAAAGGAAUUGACGGGGACCCGCACAAGCGGUGGAGCAUGUGGUUUAAUUCGAAGCAACGCGAAGAACCUUACCAAAUCUUGACAUCCUUUGACAACUCUAGAGAUAGAGCCUUCCCCUUCGGGGGACAAAGUGACAGGUGGUGCAUGGUUGUCGUCAGCUCGUGUCGUGAGAUGUUGGGUUAAGUCCCGCAACGAGCGCAACCCUUAAGCUUAGUUGCCAUCAUUAAGUUGGGCACUCUAAGUUGACUGCCGGUGACAAACCGGAGGAAGGUGGGGAUGACGCCAAACCAUCAUGCCCCUUAUGAUUUGGGCUACACACGUGCUACAAUGGACAAUACAAAGGGCAGCGAAACCGCGAGGUCAAGCAAAUCCCAUAAAGUUGUUCUCAGUUCGGAUUGUAGUCUGCAACUCGACUACAUAAAGCUGGAAUCGCUAGUAAUCGUAGAUCAGCAUGCUACGGUGAAUACGUUCCCGGGUCU